Molecule: ribosomal RNA, 300 nt
Filed under: uncultured Thermodesulfobacterium sp.
Lineage: Bacteria; Pseudomonadati; Thermodesulfobacteriota; Thermodesulfobacteria; Thermodesulfobacteriales; Thermodesulfobacteriaceae
Description: partial 16S ribosomal RNA
Rfam family: Bacterial small subunit ribosomal RNA
Source: RNAcentral
GUAAAUGCGUGCCCGGGGGGCGGGGUAAGACGGAGGGUGCGUGCGUUGUACGGACUGAUGGGGCGGAAAACGUGCGUAGGCGGUGUUGUAAGCCAGAUGUGAAAUCCCCGAGCUUAACUUGGGAACGGCGUUGGGAACUACAAGACUAGGGUGUGUCAGAGGGGGGUAGAGUUCCACGUGUAGCAGUGAAAUGCGUAGAGAUGUGGAGGAAUACCGAUGGCGAAGGCAGCCCCCUGGGAUAACACUGACGCUCAUGCACGAAAGCGUGGGGAGCAAACAGGAUUAGCUACCCUGGUAGUC